ACACCUUGGCGGGGCGGCUCGACAUCCGAAUAGUAUACCGAUUUUUAGGUUUUCGACCCUUUUGGAGCCAUUCUCACCCUUGUUUCAACCAUCUGAGGAGGUAGUUAGGCGCCGGAGUUAGCGUUGUGGGUGACUUUGGCCAAGGCCAAGGAGGUAAGUAACCUUACUGUUGACAUUAGUUAUGUAUGUAUGUUGGUGCGUGCCCUGUGGCCCUUGCAUG
Molecule: long non-coding RNA, 220 nt
Organism: Cucurbita maxima (winter squash)
Lineage: Eukaryota; Viridiplantae; Streptophyta; Magnoliopsida; Cucurbitales; Cucurbitaceae
Exons: 3
Source: RefSeq, a predicted model, not a curated record